RNAcentral lists this ribosomal RNA (253 nucleotides) under uncultured bacterium. RNAcentral's name for it is "partial 16S ribosomal RNA". It matches the Rfam family "Bacterial small subunit ribosomal RNA", at positions 524 to 776 of the family's 1533-position model. The record is from RNAcentral.
UACAGAGGGUGCGAGCGUUAAUCGGAGUUACUGGGCGUAAAGGGCGCGUAGGCGGUUAUAUGAGUGCGAUGUGAAAGCCCCGGGCUUAACCUGGGAAGUGCAUCGCAAACGAUAUGACUGGAGUAUAUGAGAGGGUGGCGGAAUUUCCGGUGUAGCGGUGAAAUGCGUAGAGAUGUGGAGGAACACCGAUGGCGAAGGCAGCCCGCUGGGCUAACACUGACGCUCAGGCACGAAAGCGUGGGGAGCAAACAGG